This 253-nucleotide ribosomal RNA is filed under the name uncultured bacterium. Its description in RNAcentral is "partial 16S ribosomal RNA". It matches the Rfam family "Bacterial small subunit ribosomal RNA", at positions 524 to 776 of the family's 1533-position model. The record is from RNAcentral.
CACGGAGGCCCCGAGCGUUGUUCGGAUUUACUGGGCGUAAAGCGUGCGUAGGCGGCUGGGUAAGUCAGAUGUGAAAGCCCGAGGCUCAACCUCGGAACUGCAUCCGAUACUGCCUGGCUCGAGGACUGGAGAGGAGACUGGAAUUCACGGUGUAGCAGUGAAAUGCGUGGAUAUCGUGAGGAAGACCAAAGGCGAAGGCAGGUCUCUGGACAGUUCCUGACGCUGAUGCACGAAGGCCAGGGGAGCAAAAAGG